AGAGUUUGAUCAUGGCUCAGGACGAACGCUGGCGGCGCGCUUAACACAUGCAAGUCGAGCGAGAACCGGGACUUCGGUCCCGGGGACAGCGGCGAACGGGUGAGUAACACGUGGGUAAUCUGCCCUCGAUUCUGGGAUAGCCCGGGGAAACUCGGAUUAAUACCGGAUAGCCUUUCAAGCCCUCGGGCGUGAAAGAAAAGGUAGCUUCGGCCUCCGAUCGAGGAUGAGCCCGCGGUGGAUUAGCUUGUUGGCGGGGUAAUGGCCCACCAAGGCGACGAUCCAUAGCUGGUCUGAGAGGACGAUCAGCCACACUGGGACUGAGACACGGCCCAGACUCCUACGGGAGGCAGCAGUGGGGAAUCUUGCGCAAUGGGCGAAAGCCUGACGCAGCGACGCCGCGUGGGGGAAGAAGGCCUUAGGGUUGUAAACCUCUUUCAGGUGGGACGAAGCCACUCGGGUUAAUAGCCCAGAGGGUGACGGUACCGCCAGAAGAAGCCCCGGCUAACUACGUGCCAGCAGCCGCGGUAAUACGUAGGGGGCAAGCGUUGUCCGGAUUUAUUGGGCGUAAAGAGCGUGUAGGCGGCCAGGUAGGUGGGUUGUGAAAACUGGAGGCUCAACCUUCAGACGUCGACCCAAACCCCCUGGCUAGAGUCCGGAAGAGGAGAGUGGAAUUCCUGGUGUAGCGGUGAAAUGCGCAGAUAUCAGGAAGAACACCCGUGGCGAAGGCGGCUCUCUGGGACGGUACUGACGCUGAGANNCGAAAGCGUGGNNAGCGAACAGGAUUAGAUACCCUAGUAGUCC
RNAcentral lists this ribosomal RNA (801 nucleotides) under uncultured bacterium. Its description in RNAcentral is "bacterial SSU rRNA". It matches the Rfam family "Bacterial small subunit ribosomal RNA", at positions 8 to 796 of the family's 1533-position model. The record is from RNAcentral.